GGAAGGAUCAUUACCGAGUGAGGGCCCUCUGGGUCCAACCUCCCACCCGUGUUUACCAUACCCUGUUGCUUCGGCGGGCCCGCCCUCAGCGGCCGCCGGGAUGGCCCCUUGGGCCUCCGGGCCCGCGCCCGCCGAAGACACCUGUGAACGCUUCUAUUGAAGAUUGCAGUCUGAGUGAUUUUUUCCAAAUCAAUCAAAAACUUUCAACAACGGAUCUCUUGGUUCCGGCAUCGAUGAAGAACGCAGCGAAAUGCGAUAAGUAAUGUGAAUUGCAGAAUUCAGUGAAUCAUCGAGUCUUCGAACGCACAUUGCGCCCCCUGGUAUUCCGGGGGGCAUGCCUGUCCGAGCGUCAUUGCUGCCCUCAAGCCCGGCUUGUGUGUUGGGUCGCCGUCCCCUCCUUUCCCGGGGGGGACGGGCCCGAAAGGCAGCGGCGACUUCGCGUCCGGUCCUCGAGCGUAUGGGGCUUCGUCACUCCGCUCUGGUAGGAACGGCCGACAGUCUGCCGACUCUCCAACCUUCUUUUUUUCCAGGUUGACCUCGGAUCAGGUAGGGAUACCCGCUGAACUUAAGCAUAUCAAUAAGCGGAGGAAAAGAAACCAACCGGGAUUGCCUCAGUAACGGCGAGUGAAGCGGCAAGAGCUCAAAUUUGAAAUCUGGCCCCUCCGGGGUCCGAGUUGUAAUUUGCAGAGGAUGCUUCGGGUGCGGCCCCUAUCUAAGUGCCCUGGAACGGGCCGUCAUAGAGGGUGAGAAUCCCGUCUGGGAUGGGGUGUCCGCGCCCGUGUGAAGCUCCUUCGACGAGUCGAGUUGUUUGGGAAUGCAGCUCUAAAUGGGUGGUAAAUUUCAUCUAAAGCUAAAUAUUGGCCGGAGACCGAUAGCGCACAAGUAGAGUGAUCGAAAGAUGAAAAGCACUUUGAAAAGAGAGUUAAACAGCACGUGAAAUUGUUGAAAGGGAAGCGCUUGCGACCAGACUCGCCUGCGGGGUUCAGCCGGCCUUCGGGCCGGUGUACUUCCCCGCAGGCGGGCCAGCGUCGGUUUGGGCGGCCGGUCAAAGGCCUCCGGAAUGUGUCGCCCUUCGGGGCGUCUUAUAGCCGGAGGUGCAAUGCGGCCAGCCUGGACCGAGGAACGCGCUUCGGCACGGACGCUGGCGUAAUGGUCGUAAGCGACCCGUCUUGAAACACGGACCAAGGAGUCUAACAUCUACGCGAGUGUUCGGGUGUCAAACCCGUACGCGCAGUGAAAGCGAACGGAGGUGGGAACCCCUCGGGGUGCACCAUCGACCGAUCCUGAUGUCUUCGGAUGGAUUUGAGUAAGAGCGUAGCUGUUGGGACCCGAAAGAUGGUGAACUAUGCCUGAAUAGGGCGAAGCCAGAGGAAACUCUGGUGGAGGCUCGCAGCGGUUCUGACGUGCAAAUCGAUCGUCAAAUUUGGGUAUAGGGGCGAAAGACUAAUCGAACCAUCUGGUAGCUGGUUCCUGC
Molecule: unclassified non-coding RNA, 1474 nt
Filed under: uncultured fungus
Lineage: Eukaryota; Fungi
Description: sequence contains 18S rRNA gene, ITS1, 5.8S rRNA gene, ITS2, 28S rRNA gene
Rfam family: Eukaryotic large subunit ribosomal RNA (bases 533-1474)
Source: RNAcentral